GUGAUCCUGGCUGUCUGUCCUAGGGUCACAGACACUGCUGGGGGCUGAGUCACUUCAGAAGAGGACACCGAACCUGUAAGAGAGGACAGGAGAGAUGCAGCUGAGCCCGGUGACCCACAGGGCAGAGACUGGAGGUGUCCUGAGCUAAUACAGUCACUGUUCCUACUUCCAAGGUCAUCCCUGGAAUGCCAAGGUGCUCCGUCCCCCUGAGUCUGCUCUGAAGUGCACUCGGAUCUUCUCGGUGUUGGAAUCUGUGUUUCCCAGUGAAACCCGGGUCUCUCUGUGCACAGAGGUGGGGCCACGUCCACCAUGGCAGACAACACAGCGAGACAUUGGGAUCAGGUUGGGAUCCUCAGGAGAAAUAAGUGAUCCUGGCCGUCUGUCCCAGCUGCACUGACACCGAGGACGACUGUGUCAGCUCAUAUGAGGCCACAAAGCCUGCAAGAGAAGAAAGAAGAGAUUACAUUCUA
Phyllostomus hastatus (greater spear-nosed bat) is the source of this 470-nucleotide long non-coding RNA. RefSeq lists it as uncharacterized. NCBI's taxonomy places the organism in Eukaryota, Metazoa, Chordata, Mammalia, Chiroptera, Phyllostomidae. The record is from RefSeq and is a predicted model, not a curated record. The transcript has 5 exons.